UACGGGGGGGGUAAGCGUUGUUCGGAAUUACUGGGCGUAAAGGGCUCGUAGGCGGCCAACUAAGUCAGACGUGAAAUCCCUCAGCUUAACUGGGGAACUGCGUCUGAUACUGGAUGGCUUGGAUUUGGGAGAGGAAUGCGGAAUUCCAGGUGUAGCGGUGAAAUGCGUAGAUAUCUGGAGGAACACCGGUGGCGAAGGCGGCAUUCUGGACCAAUAUUGACGCUGAGGAGCGAAAGCCAGGGGAGCGAACGGG
Molecule: ribosomal RNA, 253 nt
Filed under: uncultured bacterium
Lineage: Bacteria
Description: partial 16S ribosomal RNA
Rfam family: Bacterial small subunit ribosomal RNA
Source: RNAcentral